AAAGACAUGUUUAAACUAUAGUGCUGUCAAAUUGUUUUUUUGAGUCAGAUUAAUUACACUUUUGAACUUUGCUUAAUCAUGUUUAAUCACAAGUUUUUACUUUCUGGCAUAGUUCAAAAUAACCUAAAAAGAGCCCACAUUUUGGAAAGGAAUGCAAUUUUAUUGUUAGAAUAUCAUCCAGGAACUUUUUUUUUUUAUAUUUUACUCAAAUGCAAGUAAUUUAUUUGCUCAAAACUUGCUAACAGUUUUAUCAAAGUCCCACUAAGGUUUAUUUUGAAAUGUGAUUUGUCCGGUAGCACGCAUGUCUUAGUCUCUUCACUCAUCUUUGCACUAAGUUACGCAUUGACCUUAUGACAGACUAUAACAUGAACCAUUGAAAAACGUAUUCGGGUGUUACCGUUUAGUGGUCAAUUGUACGGUAUAUGUAUCGAACUGUGGAAUCUACUAAUAAAAGUUUCAAUCAUUAAAAAAACAAACCCGGUAAAGGGGCAUGUGCAGUCAAAAUGAAUGCGUGAUUAAAGGCCUACUGAAAUUAGAUUUUCUUAUUCAAGCGUGGAUAGCAGGUCCAUUCUAUGUGUCAUACUUGAUCAUGUCACGAUAUUGCCAUAUUUUUGCUGAAAAGAUUUAGCUUUUAAAUACACCAAGAGUGCAACUGGACACAUCCUCAGUGAUGUAACCUAGGAUCACAGGGGGUUUCGGGUCUUUCAACAAUCAGGCCCCCUCCCCUAGGCGACCCAGCCAGGGUUGAUCAGGCCCCAGCCUGUGUCCUGGUAGCGCUACUGCCCUACAUGCCACGCCUCUCCCCUCCUGAUCCACAGCCACCUUGAUGCCACUUCUGCUGCAUCUGUGACCAACUUCAUGGCCCUUUGCUGGCUGGCCCCUGUGAUGCCAAGCAUUCUGUAGGCCCUGCAGAGAGAUUUGCCCACAAACCCUCGACAUCCCUCUUCAACAGGCCGGCACAUCGCUCGCCACCCAUUGCUCCGACACUCCUCCACAAGCUGAGAGUACUUUGCGCUCUUCCUCUCAUUGGCCUCCUCCAUACGGUCCUCCCAAGGCACUGAGCUCCAAGAGGAUUACCUGCUUGGAGGCCACUGAGAUCAACUGACAGCUCCCAGUCGCGUGCUGUUGCCAACAGACCAGACGAGGUGUUCCGGGCAGCCGGUGUUGACUUCUCCCCAGCUCUGAUGAAAGCAGUACUCUUCACUGGGCGGAGGCUCUUGCUGUGACUGACUCCCCUGCAGAUGGCAUCAGCUAUGGCCUUCAGGACCUGGUCAUGUCGCCAGCGGUACCGCCCUUCACCCAGCGCUUUUGGACAACAGCUUAGGAUGUGCUCCAAGGUUCCUCUCCUCUGGCAGAGGGGGCACCCUGGUGUCUCCACCUUUCCCCAGGUGAAGAGGUUGGAUGGACUUGGCAGCACAUCGUAGACCGCCUGGAUCAAGAACUUUAUUCGAUGGGGUUCAGCUUUCCAGAGCUCGGUCCAUGUGACCUUACGCUCUGAUGCUUGUUCCCAUCUCGUCCAGGCGCCCUGUUGCCGCAUUCCUGCCAUCUGGCAGGCUCGCCUUUCCUCAACUGCUGCUCGCACUUCCUCGAGGAUCAGUGACCUCUUCUCUUUCCCCUGCGCCUUAUCAUAGCGAGGUGUUCUUCUGCUACCUAAGCCAGAUCUCCCCUGCGCCACUGCUCCCACCAAAACCUUUUGCCGUAGCCUUGCCUCUGCAACAUCCACAGCCUCGACAGCUCUCCACUUCCGCCCCGUCCUGACUUUAAUCCCAGCCUGUGCAACCUUUGGGUCACUGGACUCCCGGUACUGUAGGAGCUCCCUGGACCGUGUCACCAUGAACUCCUCGCUCAGGCUGCUGAUGGGGAGCUUCAGUUUGUUGUUAUGCCCGUAUAGAGCAAUGCUGCUCAGGCUUCGCGGCAGUCCUAGCCACCUGCGCAGGAACCUACUGACCCUCAUCUCAAAGCCUUCCACCGUUGAAAUGGGGACUUCGUACACCAUGAGGGGCCAGAGGAUCCGAGGGAGAAUCCCGUGCUGGUAAAUCCAGGCCUUGAACUUGCCAGGAAGGCCAGACUUAUCCACCAUGGUCAGCCAGGUCUCCAGGUCUUGGUUGGUUGAUCUUGUGGAGGCUGCGUCUCUCAGGCUGCAAUUAAACACCUUUCCCAAGCUCUUCACAGGUUCCUCGCACUAGGGCCCUCGACUUCAUGCGAGCCCAGGAAAUCACCUCCUGAAGGCCAUUCAAGAUCCACCUGCAACCUGUGACUGAUGUAGUGGUCACUGUCAGGUCGUCCAUGAAGGCUCGGAUGGGUGGCUGCCGGACUCCAGACCUGGAGAGGGGACCUCUGCACUGAACUUCCGCAGACUUCACCAGCAUGUUCAUGGCGAGCGCAAAGAGGAUGACUGAGAUCGUACAGCCAGUGAUAAAGUUUGCAACUUUUGGUCGCUAACAAAAAAGCCUUGCCUUUACCGGAAGUCGUAGACGAUGACGUCACAUGUUGAUGGCUCCUCACAUCUUCACAUUGUUUUUAAUGGGAGCGUCACACAAAAAGAGCUAUUCGGACCGAGGAAACGACAAUUUCCCCAUCAAUUUGAGCGAGGAUGAAAGAUUCGUGUUUGAGGAUAUUGAUAGCGACGGACUAGAAAAAAAAAAAGUUUAAAAAAAAACGCGAUUGCAUUGGGAAAAAUUCAGAUGUUUUUGGACACAUUUACUAGGAUAAUUCUGGGAAAUCCCUUAUCUUUCUAUUAUGUUGCUAGUGUUUUAGUGAGUUUAACAGUACCUGAUAUUCGGAGGUGUGUGUGUCCACGGGUGUCUUGACGCCAGUGUCUCAGGGAAGUCGGCGGCAGCUUUAUGGACGGCGCAAGCUCAGUUGAUCUCAGCUGAUCUCCGGUAAAAUGUGACUUUUUACCACGUUUUCCUCACCGAAAGCUGCUGGUUGACAUUCGGUCGGGAUCCAUGUUGCUUGACCGCUGUGAUCCAUAGUAAAGUUUCACCUCUGGGAAAUUUAAACAAGGAAUCACCAUGUGUUUGUGUGGCUAAAGGCUAAAGCUUCCCAACUCCCUCUUUCUACUUUGACUUUUCCAAUAUUGAUUGAAACAAUUGCAAAAGAUUCAGCAACACAGAUCUCCAAAAUACUGUGUAGUUAUGCGAUUAAAGCAGACGAUUUUUAGCUGUGUGUGCAGCGCUCAUAUUUCCUAACAGUCCGUGACGUCACGCGUACACGUCAUCAUUACGCAACGUUUUCAAGAAGAAACUCCCGGGAAAUUUAAAAUUGCAAUUUAGUAAACUAAAAAGGCCAUAUUGACAUGUGUUGCAAUGUUGAUAUUUCAUCAUUGAUAUAUAAACUCAGACUGCGUGGUGGGUAGUAGUGGGUUUCAGUAGGCCUUUAAGCUCUCUAUAGCUCUCUCCAUAUAUAGAGUUAUAGAUUUAUAAUUGACUUAUUUUUGACAGUCCUAAUUUACCAUUUAAAAAAAAAAAUAAAAAAAAAAAAUCAAGGAACUUGCUAAGAAUCUUGACCG
This is a long non-coding RNA of Nerophis ophidion (straightnose pipefish), 3511 nucleotides long. RefSeq lists it as uncharacterized. The record is from RefSeq and is a predicted model, not a curated record. The transcript has 3 exons. NCBI's taxonomy places the organism in Eukaryota, Metazoa, Chordata, Actinopteri, Syngnathiformes, Syngnathidae.